This 233-nucleotide unclassified non-coding RNA is filed under the name plant metagenome. RNAcentral describes it as "partial contains small subunit ribosomal RNA, internal transcribed spacer 1, and 5.8S ribosomal RNA". The record is from RNAcentral.
UUACCGUAGGUGAACCUGCGGAAGGAUCAUUAUUGGAUUUUGAAACUUCAGGCUGCUGCUGGCUCUCCUCGGAGGGCAUGUGCACGCUUGUUGUCCAUUAUUUCUCCCACUGUGCACAAAUUGUAGACCUUUCAGUAGGCCUAUGUUGUUUUUCACAAUCUCUGAAUGUAAUAGAAUGGUUUUGAAUCUUGGGAAAUACAAUACAACUUUCAGCAACGGAUCUCUUGGCUCUC